UUCAACUGCGCUGGAAUAUCGGACUAUUCUCAUGAGCAAAUACAAGUUUAAUUAACUAAUAAUUAAUUAAAUUCAGGAAAUUUGGCGCAGCAACAAAUACACAAAAUGUGUCUCUGUUUUUCCGCGUUACUUUGGUCGGUCUAGAUUAUUUUUGUUUAUCAGAAAAACAAAAUAAAUCACGCAGGUGCGCUAACUAGUUAGGCUAACUAGCUUAUUACUAGCUUACCGGUAUGUCCUCUGUGCCACUGUACCCUUACUUUAGCCCUGCUCUGUGGCUGGAGGUGUUUCCUGUAAAUUAAGAUCACAGACUGGCUAACCUGCAGUGAGAUGCAUUUACUGACCCAGUUACAGUGCGACUGACGAAUGCUUGCUGGGAGACCCAACCAACUCUCUCAUGACCUGAUCAAAACCCUCUGCAGCAGCACAUGUUGUUUAAAGAAAGAUCAUCAACAUUCAGGUUGUGUGAGAUGAGCACAAUGAAGCAGACCACUCCGUUCCCCACCAUGCACACGAGGAAGAUGAGCAGAUAGGACACGAUGAAGAUGGCAGCUGUCGAUGGCUGAUGCAGGAAGAGGAGGAGAAGACUGCAUCACUUGAAGAGGACAACAAAAGUACUUAAAUGUUCUUAAAGAUGUUUGCAGAUGUGUUAGACUUAAUUAAACUUGUCCUCAUAUGUGCUCAUCACUACAUUUAAUGUGGUGUGAGAGAAUUAAAUUGUUUCCAAGUGAUCAAACAUCUGUUUUGC
Molecule: long non-coding RNA, 745 nt
Organism: Lates calcarifer (barramundi perch)
Lineage: Eukaryota; Metazoa; Chordata; Actinopteri; Centropomidae
Exons: 5
Source: RefSeq, a predicted model, not a curated record